RNAcentral lists this microRNA precursor (95 nucleotides) under Canis lupus familiaris (dog). RNAcentral describes it as "mir-8799 microRNA precursor family". It matches the Rfam family "mir-8799 microRNA precursor family". Lineage: Eukaryota; Metazoa; Chordata; Mammalia; Carnivora; Canidae. The record is from Rfam by way of RNAcentral. RNAcentral also lists the same sequence under 1 other name.
AGAGGGAGCGCCAGAUCCUGGGCUGUGUCCCCCGGCACCCUGGGCUCCUGGGCCUAGGCCGCCAGAAUCACGCUCCCAGACCUGUGCAGCCCCCU